RNAcentral lists this transfer RNA (64 nucleotides) under Mordellidae sp. GENSP02. Its description in RNAcentral is "tRNA-Phe". The record is from RNAcentral. Lineage: Eukaryota; Metazoa; Arthropoda; Insecta; Coleoptera; Mordellidae.
GUCUAGGUAGCUUAUUUAGAGCGUGAUAUUGAAGAUAUUAAGGUAAUAUUAGUAUUCUUGGACA